GGGGAUUUCACUCAGUGGCAUAAGUGCCUGCCUUGCAAGCAGGCAGUUGUGAGUUCAAUCCCCG
This 64-nucleotide transfer RNA is filed under the name Cavia porcellus (domestic guinea pig). It matches the Rfam family "tRNA". From Rfam's summary of the family: Transfer RNA (tRNA) molecules are approximately 80 nucleotides in length. Their secondary structure includes four short double-helical elements and three loops (D, anti-codon, and T loops). Lineage: Eukaryota; Metazoa; Chordata; Mammalia; Rodentia; Caviidae. The record is from Rfam by way of RNAcentral.